AAUAUAUAUUUUUUAUAUUUUUAUUUUCUAUUUCUAAUAUAUAGUAUCUAUUAUAUUAUAUAGUAUAUAGAAGAAAAUUCUAUAGAAUUA
RNAcentral lists this transfer RNA (90 nucleotides) under Prunus humilis. RNAcentral's name for it is "tRNA-Ile". Lineage: Eukaryota; Viridiplantae; Streptophyta; Magnoliopsida; Rosales; Rosaceae. The record is from RNAcentral.